UCGAGAAUCUUCGGCAAUGGGCGCAAGCCUGACCGAGCGACGCCGCGUGGAGGACGAAGGCCUUCGGGUUGUAAACUCCUGUCGAGGGGGAUGAAGGGCCGGCGCAGAGCCGGUCUUGACAGAUCCCUGGAGGAAGCACGGGCUAAGUUCGUGCCAGCAGCCGCGGUAAGACGAACCGUGCGAACGUUAUUCGGAAUCACUGGGCUUAAAGCGCGUGUAGGCGGAUGGGUGCGUCAGUCGCUUAAAUCCCCCGGCUCAACCGGGGAACUGGCGCUGAUACGGCCCGUCUGGAGGGAAGUAGGGGGACCUGGAACUUCCGGUGGAGCGGUGAAAUGCGUUGAGAUCGGAAGGAACGCCCGUGGCGAAAGCGAGGUCCUGGGCUUUUUCUGACGCUGAGACGCGAAAGCUAGGGGAGCAAACGGG
RNAcentral lists this ribosomal RNA (423 nucleotides) under uncultured bacterium. RNAcentral describes it as "bacterial SSU rRNA". It matches the Rfam family "Bacterial small subunit ribosomal RNA", at positions 355 to 776 of the family's 1533-position model. The record is from RNAcentral.